GCAUUCAGAAAACCAGCGAUCCGAAGCUUGUCAGUACAGCACGGACCGAAAAUAGACGCACCAAACAAUGUAGAGCUAAAAACGCGACAAGGAUACUUUUUUGAGGCGGAUGGCGCGGAUGGAGUCGCGGUCGGAGGUGGAGGCGGAUGAGGAGGCACUACGGCGUCGGCGGUCCUGAGGCUGCGCCGGCGGGUUCGUGGUGGCGGCGGCCGCGGAGCAGCAGCGGAUACGGAGGCCAAGGGGCCUUGAAGCGGAGGCGGCGGCGCGGGAGGCCGCGAAGCCGAUGAGAUUGGAGGAGGCCCUCCACGCCCGCAGCGCCUCCAUUGCUCCGGGCAGGGGGGCUGAACGAAUGAGCGGGUUUGUCUGGUGGCGCCCGCAGCUCCGCACGUGCUCGCCGCCGCGGCAGGAUAGGGAGACGGCGGCCGCGGGAGCGAGGAUAGGGCCGUCUAGCUGCUGGCGGCUGAGGUGGCCCCGAAACCCACCCGACCGUGAAGCGUCGACGGCCCUGGACCAAUCCGGCCUUCCUAUCGGCCGUGGGCCAACUCAGCCUGCCCGCGGCCCAUUCUGGCUGGGUGACGCCUGACGCGUCCAAGCCGCGCCAACGGAAUAUGCCGUGCGCGUUGCGGCCAGCCCGCUUGUCCCCCGGGCGGGUCCCGCCUGUCGCGCGAACCAGGGAAAUAUCUACAUCUCGUCUGCGCCGCCGCUGGGAUUUAUUAGGGUUCUACUUCUAGCCCGGGCCGACUCCACUCCAAUCCAAUCCUGGGGCGGGCGACUGCCUCCUUCCCUCGAUCUAUUCUCCAUCUUGUCCUCCCUUUGCUAAAAAUAACGAGGCAGAGGCAUCUUCGAUUUGACGUGCGCUUCCUCUUCCUCGCUCGCUCUCGGUCGCAGUGAUGGCUGAUGUCGACGAGUACCGUUGCUUCAUUGGGAACCUGUCCUGGUCAACGACUGAUGAAAGCCUCAAGGAUGCGUUCAGCAAAUUCGGCAACCUCACUGAGGCAAAGGUGGUUCUUGACAAAUUUUCAGGACGUUCUCGUGGUUUCGGCUUUGUAACUUUUGAUGAGAAGCAAGCCAUGGAGGAUGCUAUUGAGGGAAUGAAUGGACUGGACUUGGACGGGAGGAACAUCACUGUUGAUAAAGCUCAGCCACAAGGACCUGGUAGAGACCGUAAUGGUGACCGUGAUUAUGACCGCGAGCGUGGAUCUCGUUAUGAACGUGGUCGUGACUAUGGUGGUGGGCGUGCACCGCGAGGUGGUGGUGGUGGUGGUGGUGGUGGUGACUGCUUCAAGUGUGGGAAACCUGGUCAUUUUGCUAGAGAGUGCCCAUCUGGGGAUGGUGGGAGAGGGGACAGAUAUGGUGGGAGAGAUGACAGGUAUGGUGGCGGUGGCGGUGGCGGUGGCGGUCGUUAUGGUUCUGACCGUGGUGGUGACCGAUACUCUGGCCGUAGCCGAGAUGGCGGCAGCUAUGGGGGUGGCGAUCGCUACAGCCGUGACCGAUCAGGUCCUUACUGAUGGCCUUAGUUCUUGAUUGAGAAGUAUGUGCCAUCCAGGCAUAUGACUUGGUCAUAGUGCUUGGCGCUUGGAUCCUGCAUGUUUGCUUGAUGUGCUAUUUGGCUAUUAAAAGAUGGAUUUUGUCACUGUGUUUGAUGACCCUGGUCCUAAUUAAGCUUAUGCCUGUGAUACGGGGGAUUGGAUGGCAAGUUAGUGUCCGCAUUUGUGUUCUUUUCGGGGAAGCAAGGGGUUGACUACUAUAAUCUACUUGAACACACCUACAGCUACAAGAAAAAACUAUGUUCUUGUUACCUCUUCUGAAAGCAAGUGAUGAAUCGUCCAUUAGAGAAAAUUAACUGGCUUCUUUUUGGUUAUUUGUUCUUGUUGUGGAUUGGUUGAUACUGUGGUUCUGGAUUUGGUUACUUGCGUCCUAAGAUCAUUUUAGUCUGGCCAGUUGAUCCACGAAUGCAAAGAGAUUAUCCUUUGGUUCCAUUCUAUGUGCCUUUAGCAUUGGAGGGCCUCUAUUUAUGGUUGCUUGAUGAACUGGUUAUGUUUGCUUCGCCAUGUUGGUGGGGUGUUCCUUGAGCUGUCCCGUGUUCCUUGUGACUUGUGAGAACACCAGAGGUUAUGCUUGCCUGAGUGGAUGUGAUGCUACCUGGUUGCUGUUCCUUUGACAAUGCACCAAUGUCCUAUCGCAGCUUAUAUACUCUGGUUCCAGAUUAAUUACUGGUGCCCCUUUGAGAGGAGUUAUGAUGAUGUUAUUAUUCAUCAGCAGCAUUCUAAUUGCCCUUGAUUUAGUGUAGCCUUUUUUUCUUAGUUCACCGAAUCUCAGGAUGCAAACGUUAGGUUACUUUUACUGUUCGUACUAACCAAUUGAGCUUUUGUACUAAAAAAAGUAUGUUACAUUAAGCUGCUCCAGGUUCCGUUUUCUCCCGGCUUUGAACAUGUUGAUUUGUACUGAAA
Molecule: RNA transcript, 2450 nt
Organism: Zea mays
Lineage: Eukaryota; Viridiplantae; Streptophyta; Magnoliopsida; Poales; Poaceae
Gene name: glycine-rich RNA-binding protein 8
Exons: 5
Source: RefSeq, marked validated